UACGGGGGGGGCAAGCGUUGUUCGGAAUUACUGGGCGUAAAGGGCUCGUAGGUGGCCAACUAAGUCAGACGUGAAAUCCCUCGGCUUAACCGAGGAACUGCGUCUGAUACUGGAUGGCUUGAGUUUGGGAGAGGAAUGCGGAAUUCCAGGUGUAGCGGUGAAAUGCGUAGAUAUCUGGAGGAACACCGGUGGCGAAGGCGGCAUUCUGGACCAAUACUGACGCUGAGGAGCGAAAGCCAGGGGAGCAAACGGG
RNAcentral lists this ribosomal RNA (253 nucleotides) under uncultured bacterium. RNAcentral's name for it is "partial 16S ribosomal RNA". It matches the Rfam family "Bacterial small subunit ribosomal RNA", at positions 524 to 776 of the family's 1533-position model. The record is from RNAcentral.